RNAcentral lists this ribosomal RNA (464 nucleotides) under uncultured bacterium. Its description in RNAcentral is "partial 16S ribosomal RNA". It matches the Rfam family "Bacterial small subunit ribosomal RNA", at positions 28 to 506 of the family's 1533-position model. The record is from RNAcentral.
GACGAACGCUGGCGGCGUGCUUAACACAUGCAAGUCGAACGGAAAGGCCCCUUUGGGGGUACUCGAGUGGCGAACGGGUGAGUAACACGUGAGUAACCUGCCCUUGACUUCGGGAUAACUUCAGGAAACUGGGGCUAAUACCGGAUAGGAAUCCUUGCUGCAUGGUGGGGGUUGGAAAGCUUCGGCGGUUUUGGAUGGACUCGCGGCUUAUCAGCUUGUUGGUGGGGUUGUGGCUUACCAAGGCUUUGACGGGUAGCCGGCCUGAGAGGGCGACCGGCCACAUUGGGACUGAGAUACGGCCCAGACUCCUACGGGAGGCAGCAGUGGGGAAUAUUGCACAAUGGGCGGAAGCCUGAUGCAGCAACGCCGCGUGCGGGAUGACGGCCUUCGGGUUGUAAACCGCUUUCAGCAGGGGCGAAGCUUGUGGUGACGGUACCUGCAGAAGAAGCACCGGCUAACUACGU